CGGCGGACGGGUGAGUAAUGCCUAGGAAUCUGCCUGGUAGUGGGGGACAACGUUUCGAAAGGAACGCUAAUACCGCAUACGUCCUACGGGAGAAAGCAGGGGACCUUCGGGCCUUGCGCUAUCAGAUGAGCCUAGGUCGGAUUAGCUAGUUGGUGAGGUAAUUGCUCACCAAGGCGACGAUCCGUAACUGGUCUGAGAGGAUGAUCAGUCACACUGGAACUGAGACACGGUCCAGACUCCUACGGGAGGCAGCAGUU
Molecule: ribosomal RNA, 257 nt
Filed under: uncultured Pseudomonas sp.
Lineage: Bacteria; Pseudomonadati; Pseudomonadota; Gammaproteobacteria; Pseudomonadales; Pseudomonadaceae
Description: partial 16S ribosomal RNA
Rfam family: Bacterial small subunit ribosomal RNA
Source: RNAcentral